GAUGAACGCUGGCGGCGUGCUUAACACAUGCAAGUCGAACGGAAAGGCUCCUGCUUGCAGGGGUACUCGAGUGGCGAACGGGUGAGUAACACGUGGGUGAUCUGCCCUGCACUUCGGGAUAAGCCUGGGAAACUGGGUCUAAUACCGGAUAGGACCACAUUUUGGAUGGUGUGGUGGAAAGUUUUUCGGUGUGGGAUGAGCUCGCGGCCUAUCAGCUUGUUGGUGGGGUAAUGGCCUACCAAGGCGUCGACGGGUAGCCGGCCUGAGAGGGUGUACGGCCACAUUGGGGCUGGGAUACGGCCCAGACUCCUACGGGAGGCAGCAGUGGGGAAUAUUGCACAAUGGGCGCCAGCCUGAUGCAGCGACGCCGCGUGGGGGAUGACGGCCUUCGGGUUGUAAACUCCUUUCGCUAGGGACGAAGCGUUUUUGUGACGGUACCUUGAGAAGAAGCACCGGCUAACUACGUG
RNAcentral lists this ribosomal RNA (467 nucleotides) under uncultured bacterium. RNAcentral's name for it is "partial 16S ribosomal RNA". It matches the Rfam family "Bacterial small subunit ribosomal RNA", at positions 28 to 507 of the family's 1533-position model. The record is from RNAcentral.